This 584-nucleotide ribosomal RNA is filed under the name Salmonella enterica. Its description in RNAcentral is "partial 23S ribosomal RNA". It matches the Rfam family "Bacterial large subunit ribosomal RNA", at positions 1307 to 1874 of the family's 2925-position model. The record is from RNAcentral. Lineage: Bacteria; Pseudomonadati; Pseudomonadota; Gammaproteobacteria; Enterobacterales; Enterobacteriaceae.
UAACGAUAAAGCGGGUGAAAAGCCCGCUCGCCGGAAGACCAAGGGUUCCUGUCCAACGUUAAUCGGGGCAGGGUGAGUCGACCCCUAAGGCGAGGCCGAAAGGCGUAGUCGAUGGGAAACGGGUUAAUAUUCCCGUACUUGGUGUUACUGCGAAGGGGGGACGGAGAAGGCUAUGUUGGCCGGGCGACGGUUGUCCCGGUUUAAGCGUGUAGGUGUGUGUUCCAGGUAAAUCCGGUUCACUUUAACACUGAGGCGUGACGACGAGGCACUACGGUGCUGAAGCAACAAAUGCCCUGCUUCCAGGAAAAGCCUCUAAGCAUCAGGUAACACGAAAUCGUACCCCAAACCGACACAGGUGGUCAGGUAGAGAAUACCAAGGCGCUUGAGAGAACUCGGGUGAAGGAACUAGGCAAAAUGGUGCCGUAACUUCGGGAGAAGGCACGCUGACACGUAGGUGAAGUGAUUUACUCAUGGAGCUGAAGUCAGUCGAAGAUACCAGCUGGCUGCAACUGUUUAUUAAAAACACAGCACUGUGCAAACACGAAAGUGGACGUAUACGGUGUGACGCCUGCCCGGUGCCGGAA